Long non-coding RNA from Zingiber officinale, 312 nucleotides. RefSeq lists it as uncharacterized. The transcript is spliced from 2 exons. The record is from RefSeq and is a predicted model, not a curated record. NCBI's taxonomy places the organism in Eukaryota, Viridiplantae, Streptophyta, Magnoliopsida, Zingiberales, Zingiberaceae.
GGGGAGAGGAGACAAACCUAGGGUUUUUAGAGAGAGUGGGCAGCAACCAAGACAUGGCUGCACGAAUCGAAAAAAAAAAACAAAAGGAAGAGAAUCAUGGAUCGGGAGGAGGAAAGGGAAGGGAAGUCAUCCUUAGUUCGUGUGCUACUCCCUCCGUGUCAGUAUUUGGUUUUUGAGCGUUGUUAACACAAGGGUGAGGAAGAUAUUGAGGUAGUAGGCUCUGACACUUGAGUGGAUCCGGACCAUAGCAGUGGACUCCCGAAGACCUUUCAUUUCUAUGUAAAACUAAAAAUAAUAAAAUUUGACAGGAGG